This is a long non-coding RNA of Pezoporus occidentalis (night parrot), 575 nucleotides long. RefSeq lists it as uncharacterized. Lineage: Eukaryota; Metazoa; Chordata; Aves; Psittaciformes; Psittacidae. The transcript has 2 exons. The record is from RefSeq and is a predicted model, not a curated record.
AAAAUUAACAGACUGACUGCACCAUGGUUGCACAGAACUUUGGCAAUGCAGGAAUAUGACUGCAGAUGGGCUUCACUACUACAUUAUCCGAAAGACCAUGCAGCAAUACUGCGUAGCAGCUCAGGUCGGGAAGUGUGGGAUACUUUACUCAGCUGAAAACGUAGAUUCCAAAAUUAGAGCAAGUCACAUUUCCUCAUGGAACUUCUGCUGCAAGGAGGCAUUGAGCUUUUGCAGCCCUAGUCUGAAGGUGCCUGCUCCAGUGGAUGACCUGCUCUGUCAUGCACAGCUAUCCCAAAACAAUUGGACAAUGGCAAACUUUAAAAAUUAAUGCAUGUCCUGAUUACUGUCCCAUCCCCCUCAGCUUGUGCUUUCUGACUCUUGCUUCAUGUUGCUGAGUCCUAUUUGUUGAAGGUGCUACUUAAUCCAUGACUUGCCUGCUGCAUUCUCGUUUGACCUGUUAACUGUUAAAGCAAAAAAAGUUAUUUUAAGAUUGGACUUGUCAAAGAGGUCUUAUCUCCUCCCUUCAAAGUCCUCUGAUGAUUAAUAUUUGAUUAAAAUGUGGUUGCAGCAUUAAA